This 629-nucleotide ribosomal RNA is filed under the name Herbaspirillum sp. RNAcentral's name for it is "bacterial SSU rRNA". It matches the Rfam family "Bacterial small subunit ribosomal RNA", at positions 67 to 689 of the family's 1533-position model. Lineage: Bacteria; Pseudomonadati; Pseudomonadota; Betaproteobacteria; Burkholderiales; Oxalobacteraceae. The record is from RNAcentral.
CGGCAGCACGGGAGCUUGCUCCUGGUGGCGAGUGGCGAACGGGUGAGUAAUAUAUCGGAACGUGCCCUAGAGUGGGGGAUAACUAGUCGAAAGAUUAGCUAAUACCGCAUACGAUCUAAGGAUGAAAGUGGGGGAUCGCAAGACCUCAUGCUCGUGGAGCGGCCGAUAUCUGAUUAGCUAGUUGGUGAGGUAAAGGCUCACCAAGGCGACGAUCAGUAGCUGGUCUGAGAGGACGACCAGCCACACUGGAACUGAGACACGGUCCAGACUCCUACGGGAGGCAGCAGUGGGGAAUUUUGGACAAUGGGCGCAAGCCUGAUCCAGCAAUGCCGCGUGAGUGAAGAAGGCCUUCGGGUUGUAAAGCUCUUUUGUCAGGGAAGAAACGGGUGAGGCUAAUAUCCUUGCCUAAUGACGGUACCUGAAGAAUAAGCACCGGCUAACUACGUGCCAGCAGCCGCGGUAAUACGUAGGGUGCAAGCGUUAAUCGGAAUUACUGGGCGUAAAGCGUGCGCAGGCGGUUGUGCAAGACAGAUGUGAAAUCCCCGGGCUCAACCUGGGAAUUGCAUUUGUGACUGCACGGCUAGAGUGUGUCAGAGGGGGGUAGAAUUCCACGUGUAGCAGUGAAAUGC